AUGAUUGCUCUUAUCGGUAUGGCUCCUACCGAGGAGGAGGGAGAAGAGAAGAAGAAGAGGGAAAGGAAGGCAGCCGGAGCUGCUUUCACGUGGAUUCAAAAUAACUUUGCGACGUGCCCUCCGGAUGCAACUGAUGAUGUGAUCCAGACACAUGCUCGUGUGUAUAUGUGGUACAUUGUGUCGAGGACUUUGUUUCCUGACUCCACUGGCAAGAACGCUCCAUGGAUGUGGCUGAAGGCGUUGACCGUCUUCGAUAGCAAAUGGAGCUGGGGUUCAGCGACUCUUGCCUACUUGUACCGACAGGUAGUUGGUCUGUUUUGUGAUCAACUCAUUUAUUCAUUAGCAAUGCAAGCUUGCUGUCAAGUUAACAUUGUUUUUCUUUCAUAUGUAGUUGGAUGA
RNAcentral lists this ribosomal RNA (399 nucleotides) under Triticum aestivum (bread wheat). RNAcentral describes it as "partial small subunit ribosomal RNA". Lineage: Eukaryota; Viridiplantae; Streptophyta; Magnoliopsida; Poales; Poaceae. The record is from RNAcentral.